AUUGUACUUUCUCCGUCCGAAAAUACUUGUCGAAGGAAUGGAUGUAUCUAGACAUAUUCUAAUUUUAGAUACAUCUAUUUUUAUGCAUUUUUUCGACGAGUAUUUCCGGACGGAGGGAGUACUAA
Molecule: non-coding RNA, 125 nt
Organism: Triticum aestivum (bread wheat)
Lineage: Eukaryota; Viridiplantae; Streptophyta; Magnoliopsida; Poales; Poaceae
Source: Rfam